RNAcentral lists this unclassified non-coding RNA (223 nucleotides) under uncultured Gammaproteobacteria bacterium. Its description in RNAcentral is "contains 16S-23S intergenic spacer region". Lineage: Bacteria; Pseudomonadati; Pseudomonadota; Gammaproteobacteria. The record is from RNAcentral.
UCCGGUUUGUCACCGGCAGUCCCAUUAGAGUGCUCAACUGAAUGUAGCAACUAAUGGCAAGGGUUGCGCUCGUUGCGGGACUUAACCCAACAUCUCACGACACGAGCUGACGACAGCCAUGCAGCACCUGUGUCUAGGUUCCCUUUCGGGCACUCCUACAUCUCUGCAGGAUUCCUAGCAUGUCAAGGGUAGGUAAGGUGGGGAUGACGUUUAGGAGCUCGAC